CAAAUGAGUCAGUGAAGGGAACAUGGAUGAUGAUGCACUACAUAGGAAUCCAAAGGGAGUGCAAUGGUGGUGCACGACAAUGAUGGAAAGGUGAAUGGUGGAGUGACACCCUUUUGUGGCUAAGCUCUUUGUCCUUUUUACAUUAAUUCUUCUUUCUCUUUAACACAUUCCUAGCCUCUUUAGUCUUCAAUUUCAUCCAUCCACCUUGCUUCAUGCAUGUGCUAUCCAUUCCAAGCGCAAAACUGCUCCAAAAUGCAUCUUAUUGCUUUAUAAGGCCUAUAGACCUACAAACACACGAAAAUAGCUUAAAAUACAUAAUUAACUAAGAACUAACAACAUGGAUGCAUGAGAACAAGCUAGCUCAGUCGCAUAAAUAUGCUCCUAUCAAAUUCCUCCACACUUAGCUUUUGCUAGUUCUCGAGCAAAACAAAACAAACGAAACAAACAAAACACAACCUAGACCUUCCAACAUUUGCCUCAGGG
RNAcentral lists this long non-coding RNA (483 nucleotides) under Malus domestica (apple). RNAcentral describes it as "long non-coding RNA (MDOM_LNC006875)". Lineage: Eukaryota; Viridiplantae; Streptophyta; Magnoliopsida; Rosales; Rosaceae. The record is from RNAcentral.